GAGGAAUAUUGGUCAAUGGGCGAGAGCCUGAACCAGCCAAGUCGCGUGAAGGAAGACUGCCUUAUGGGUUGUAAACUUCUUUUAUACAGGAAUAAAAAGGGGCACGUGUGCCUUAUUGCAUGUACUGUAUGAAUAAGCAUCGGCUAACUCCGUGCCAGCAGCCGCGGUAAUACGGAGGAUGCGAGCGUUAUCCGGAUUUAUUGGGUUUAAAGGGUGCGCAGGCGGGAAUUUAAGUCAGCGGUGAAAUCUGGUCGCUUAACGAUCACACUGCCGUUGAAACUGGGUUUCUUGAGUAUGGAUGAAGUAGGCGGAAUUCGUUGUGUAGCGGUGACAUGCAUAGAUAUAACGAGGAACUCCGAUUGCGUAGGCAGCUUACUAAGCCAUAACUGACGCUCAAGCACGAAAGCGUGGGGAUCAAAC
This 420-nucleotide ribosomal RNA is filed under the name uncultured bacterium. RNAcentral's name for it is "bacterial SSU rRNA". It matches the Rfam family "Bacterial small subunit ribosomal RNA", at positions 356 to 773 of the family's 1533-position model. The record is from RNAcentral.